UAACCAACUAAUCUUACUAACUUUGAAGCAGAUCAUCAUUAAAUCAGAAAAGUAUGUAGCUGAACAAAAAAAUUAUAGAGCUUCAUUCAUAUUUGACAGCUUACCACUUAAAACUGUCAAUACAAAAAAAAAAGCAGUAAACAGAUAAUUUUAGAGCUGAAAUGACAAAAAAGUCAUCUUCUUGUUCCAUGGAAAACUUUUAACAGAGUAUUUAUGGGCUCUAAACCAUGCACUGGUUAGAAGAUA
RNAcentral lists this long non-coding RNA (246 nucleotides) under Carica papaya (papaya). RNAcentral's name for it is "long non-coding RNA (CPAP_LNC014368)". The record is from RNAcentral. Lineage: Eukaryota; Viridiplantae; Streptophyta; Magnoliopsida; Brassicales; Caricaceae.